AGGUGGGCAUACUGCCAACUG
Molecule: microRNA, 21 nt
Filed under: Prunus persica (peach)
Lineage: Eukaryota; Viridiplantae; Streptophyta; Magnoliopsida; Rosales; Rosaceae
Description: microRNA miRNA_234
Source: RNAcentral